RNAcentral lists this ribosomal RNA (555 nucleotides) under uncultured bacterium. RNAcentral's name for it is "bacterial SSU rRNA". The record is from RNAcentral.
AGAGUUUGAUCCUGGCUCAGGAUGAACGCUAGCGGCAGGCUUAACACAUGCAAAUCGAGGGGUAUAAUUAUCUUGCUAAUUAGAGACCGGCGCACGGGUGCGUAACGCGUAUGCAAUCUACCUUUUACAGCGGGAUAGCCCAGAGAAAUUUGGAUUAAUACCACAUAGUAUUAUGAAUUGGCAUCAUUUUAUAAUUAAAGAUUUAUCGGUAAAAGAUGAGCAUGCGUCCCAUUAGCUAGUUGGUAUGGUAACGGCAUACCAAGGCAACGAUGGGUAGGGGUCCUGAGAGGGAGAUCCCCCACACUGGUACUGAGACACGGACCAGACUCCUACGGGAGGCAGCAGUGAGGAAUAUUGGACAAUGGGCGCAAGCCUGAUCCAGCCAUGCCGCGUGCAGGAUUAAGGUCUUAUGGAUUGUAAACUGCUUUUAUACGAGGAGAAACACUACUUCGUGAAGUAGCUUGACGGUAUCGUAAGAAUAAGGAUCGGCUAACUCCGUGCCAGCAGCCGCGGUAAUACGGAGGAUCCAAGCCGUUAUCCGGAAUCAUUGGRUUU